UGCCCCAGGCAAGGUAAAACAAGGGAUAAAACUUAUGGUUUUUUGCUUGUGGGACAGACACGAGGGAGAGAAGACACCAGUUCUCUCUGGUUAAUAAAGCUUAUUCAUAACCUUAAUUCCAGUUUAUUAACCUUAGAUAUAACAAGUCGUGCUGUAAUUGUAGUUGUUCAGGGAGCACAGGGCAGUUUUUUCCUAGAGGGUAUCAAAUUCUGUGUUAUUAUUAUAUAUGCAGUAAAUCUCCAUUAAAAGGCUUUCUGUAAAUGUUUCAAGGCUAUGCCGGAUAGAAGGGUACUCCAUCUCAGUUUCCAGGCGGGGUAUUAUCUAUUUUAAAUGUCCUGCAAUAAGAGUUGCCUUAUUUGUCUCUCACAAAAAACAAUACAGUGCCUCACGAGCGGCUUGUUGUUUUGGAGGAAGAAAGACAGAAGCUGAACUUUGGUGACUGCUGUGUCGGUCUUGUGUGAGCCUGAGUUAAAAUGUGAGUUCUCCAUAGAGCCUGGCUGCGAUCUUUUGCUGCCUGGCAAAACAAGGAAACGACAGGAUAGAAAUUCACCGAGCCUAACUCUACUGCUUCCUUUUCUUUUUCUCUCCCUUUCAUAUAAAUCACACCCUUUUGAAGCCGCUUGCUUUUCUUUCGUGGGCACAAACCCCUCGUCUUUUUAAAGUCUGCCUUUAAAGCUAAUUGUUUCAACAGGACAAGAAACUUGUAAAAGGCAGCUCCAGCUUAUCUCCAGUUUGUCUUCCCAGGAAUGCUUGUAAGAGAAGUGUCCAUUCGUACAAUAGGAGCGACUGUUCAAAGGCUGGUAGGAGAAGAAAAGAGAACUGCAAGAAGUAAUCCUCGGAGCAGAUUUCUUACUGGAGUCGCUGCGGCUUUGGCCCCUUUGAUAGGAAAACUGGCAACAUCCUUCUGCAAGAAGAUGGAGAUGUCAGCUUUCAGACCCCCACGUGCCACAGGAUGACAGUGUGCUCCUGCCUGCCCCCAACCUCCUCCUUUGGCCUGGUCGUUAUACCCAAGGCCUCGCUCAAGACUAACAGCACUUUCCUAAUAAAUAGUAUCACCGUGUCA
Molecule: long non-coding RNA, 1063 nt
Filed under: Coturnix japonica (Japanese quail)
Lineage: Eukaryota; Metazoa; Chordata; Aves; Galliformes; Phasianidae
Description: lncRNA (ENSCJPG00005007182.1)
Source: RNAcentral